Motacilla alba alba is the source of this 5726-nucleotide long non-coding RNA. RefSeq lists it as uncharacterized. The record is from RefSeq and is a predicted model, not a curated record. The transcript is spliced from 3 exons. Lineage: Eukaryota; Metazoa; Chordata; Aves; Passeriformes; Motacillidae.
CUUCUCCCAUCACUUUUAUCAAACAAAGCCAAACCAGCCUGAAGCUGGUUUUUAACAUGAAACUCUUCAUUAGACAGCUCACACAAAGCAUGCCAGGUGCACCAGGGCAUGUCCAGGCACAAAACAUUUUCAUUUGCAAACCCGUUGUUCACCAGUUUGGGAGGGAUGUGUGAGUUGAUGGCUCGUGUUUCUGUGAGGAAUGCAACAGUUUGCCACCCAGCUAUAGCCAAAGCCUGAGAGAGACCUGAGGAUGCUGAGAUUCCCCGUAUAAUGCUGCAGUUUCUCCCUUGUUUUACAGUAAUUUGAUGUUGCCUGAACACAGUAGUCGACCUUUUUUAAACUCCUGCUCGCAGGGUAGAACAGCAGGGAUGAUAAACCUUAUGCUUUAGUUCAGAAAUAGCACAGAUCAGUGAGAGCAGCCAGGGCUGCACCACGGGAGAGAGGGGUAGUGGCAGCACACAGCUCUACUGACUGCUGGGGUUUAAUACAUAUACAAGAAAACCAUACUGCCUGCCAGAGAAACUGCAUGUCGGCCUAAGAGGCUGCUUAGGCUUAGCUUGCUCUUGAAGCCUGGGUCAUGUCUGGUUUUACAUCCUUUCUCUCCUCAAAGUGUGCUCUCUUUAGAGCUCUGAAUUACUGAGUGCUCAGAACCCGGGAUGGAGAUUUCGAGGAGCACCAUGGUGGCCCUGCUCCACCUGGAGCUGUCUCCCUCAGCUGAACAUGUUUAGGUUGUUGUUCUUUCCUAGAGGCAAAACUUGCAUCUCACAAUAGCCUGAAAACCCCCUGAAGUUGUUAAGUAGGGUGGAAAGGCAAGCACAGUAAGUGCAUGGAGGGAAAACCCCACUCUGGCCAAUUGAAAUUUUACUUGUGCCCUAAAGUGGGGAACAAAACCAAUUAAGAGUAGCAGUGACCCUGCAUCCUGGGCAGCCUCGCUGUGCCUGGGCUGCGGAGGAGCAGAUUUGUUCUUAGGGCAACACAGUCGGGGGGAAAGGUAAAGCACAGCACAAGGAGAUGGAAAAAACGAGCAGAGAAACGAGGAGAGGAUGAAAGCAGCACUCAGAGUCACCUGGGUGCUGGAGAGCAUCUGCUGUGUGUGUGCAGAGGGACACUGAACACGAGGAACGGCUCUGAAGUGCCACGCUGGAUGUUUAUGGCACGGAUAGCACCGGCACAAAUGAGAAGGUGCCCACGUUUCAGCAGGCUGUGCACAACGUGUGUGACUCUCAGGGUGACCACAGACCUCAGCAGCAGCGGCACUUCAGAGCUUGUGGACAGACCUUUAAAAUUGCACCAAAGGGUAGUGCUGGAGUGCAGAGACAGCUGAGGCUCCUCCAGCUGGAAGAAUUCUCCAGCUCUCACCUCCUGACAGAGGCAAUGGGAGAUGGGGAUGGCAGAUGAUAAUGUAAUUCCACGUCCUAACCAAGCACUCAGGAGCGCAUCCGAAAAGCGCCUGGAAGCGGAGGAUUGACAAGCUGCUAAUCCAAUCCUCUGACAGUCACAGGGUGCCCUGCAAAAGAGAUCCUUUGUUCUUCAAGAGCUGAUUGAGCUCCAUUAGUAGCCAUAUCCAGAGCCCUGGGCGCAAUAUUAAUGCUAAUACCGUUGUUACGGAGAUGGGAAGCCGUCAGGAAGGAACAAUAAUCAGCCCACAAUAUCAUUGGACAUAUUCAUGCAGCUUGUACUGGGGUGAGAUCCGAGAGCUCUGAACCUUCCUGAGCAGAAAACCAAAAUCCAAUUAGCAUCUUCCCCCUAAACCUCCCCGGCUGCCUUCACUGGAGAUGACCUUGGGCAGCUGUGUUGCGAUUUUGCCAAACCCUCAGUGACGUCUUGAGUUCACUGCUGGUGCUGGGCUUUGCCCAGGCAGAAGGCCUGGCUCUGCAGCCCACCUCUCACGCUGGGCAAGACUUGCUCACAGAAGUUCCCUCUGCAGCCUUGGCGUGCUCUGGGCUGAGCUGUGGCACUGAUGGAUUUCGGGACUCACACGUCCUUGGGGAUGUCCAACCCAACUGGUGAGAAAACUCCUCUCCCUCUCCCACCUCCUGCCAGAGUCCCAGCUCCUGGAUCACAGAAUGCUUUAGGUUGGAAGGACCUCAAAGAUCACCUUGCUCCAAGCCCCAGCCGUGGGCAGGGAUGUCACCUGACGUGGCUUUCCUGGGAAAGGUGGAUGGCAAGCCCUGGCCCAUGGUCACCCCCAUCGUGCUGAUGAAGGAUUUGGGGAGAGCAGGAGCUGCUCCAUGUGCCCUCACAGAGCCCUCUGCUCCAGCCCAAGGGCAGCCCAGCCUGUGCUCAAAGGAAAAUCUGCUCCUUUAGCAAAAAGGUUCCUUGCAAUCAGUUUGAAUCAAACCUAGAAAAACUCUAAUUAUAAGCAAAAUUUAGCCUGAUGGGACAAAAAUAAGAAAUAUUUUAAUCUGGGGCAGGAUAGGAAUUUACAUGCAUUCAUUGCCCAAUGGUAGGGUGAGAAAUCAACUGUAGAAGAACGCUCAAAGAAUUUAUUUUUUUACAUGUUUACUGCACUGUCCAUUUAAUAUUUUUUCAUUAAGCUGGGAAACAAGGCUGAGUUUCCACAGACAGGGCUGAGUUUCCACAGCCUGCUCUCCACAUCCCUGCUCCUCUGACAAGCAGCCUGCAAUGAGUCUGGCAGAUAUUUCAUGACAGUGACCCUCCUCCUGGUCCCCUCAUGGCUCAAGGCUUCCACGGGAACAUCAUCCACCAGGUCUGGUCCUAAUCACCACAGGCAGGGCUCUGAAGGGAGUGAGGAUCUUGAUGGAAAGAAGUGCAUUCAUUCCCAGACAGCAUGGACAGCUUCUGGACGUAAAGCUUUUCUUUCUCCUGGCUGUGCAAUCCACGGGGACAGAGGUAAAAGACUUGUUCUGGCUGUGCUAAUGUCACGGGGAUGUUCAACAUGAAUUGUAAGUUGUCUUCACCCUGAAUCUUUGUUGCAGCUGCUGUCAACAGCACAAGUGAAGAUCCCAAAAUAUAAAGCAUUUUGAACUCGUUCUUUUCAUUUCCUUUCCAUUAUACCAGGAUGAUACUGCCUUAUCUCAAAGACACACUUGCAUACUUGCACUCUAUAAUGGAGAAACAGCACUACAUACAGGUCCCUAAAAGUAAACACCAAACUCUGUAAAUGUUGCAUAUAAUUAGGAAGAUUCUUCUGGAUUUAUUAUUUUUUCCCCCAAAGCUGUUACUGCUUGAUAUGGCUGUCAUCUGUGUCACUUCUAUGGAAAGAUAUUCUGUGUUAGAAAGGGGAAAUCAGAGCAGCAAGCUAGUAACUUGUUCCACCAGGGAGAUUUAAGGUAGAAAACAAUGAAGCAGGGCUGCUGACAGCACCGUGGUGGCUGUACCUCCUCCUUAAGUGGAACGGGUCAGGAUCACCCUUGUUUUAGAGAAGAACCAGCACAAACCUCACACCUGAUGGACACAAACAUCCUUCAGACUGCAAAGAAAAGAGCUGUUUCCUGUAAAUAUCCCCAGCCCAAGACCGACAAGUCAAACUCAGUCUCAGCGUCAUAAUUCUGAUUUGAUUUCCUAGUAUAUUAAUUUUCACCAUUUGAUUUCACUGAUCUGUUGAGUCCAUUUCAGCUGUGGCCUUUAUUUGAUUGCUUAAUUGGCUUAGCAAAGCCUGGCUGCCUCAGCUCUGCCUCGUCUUCUUUCCUGUAAGACCCACAGAACGCAAACUGAGCUUAUUUUACACUAAAUGGUGGUCAAGCCUGGAAACCCCAGGGCACAGAUGAUCUCAGUUAUACGGAGGGCAGCCUCUAGAUGGACCUCACCUCGUUCAGCUUGAACCUUGACACGUGUGCCCAGUUUGGGCUCAGCAUCCAGGCUGGGGCAGGACUCUGCUGUGUGGGGCUUUGCUGCUGCCAGGAGCAGGGUCAGGAGCAGCUGGGGGCCAUCAGCAGGGACAGUGACACCUUCCCCUGUGCUUCCCUGCCACCAGCACACCUGAGUGAACCCGGCCUGGCUGCUGCUGGGGUUUCCAGCACGCUGAGGCAAUGCACUGGCACCUCUGAGUUUGCUUCAUUUGCAUUUAAACAAUCAAGUGUUUUAAUUAAAAUGCAUAAAUGAAUCAUCCACUAGAAGCCCUAUCUCCCAUGUUAUUUAUUUUUUAUAUUAAACCUUCAAUUUGAUGGAUAAGCACUGCCAUUGGUCAUUUCUGCAGAAAUGAUCCCAUCAGCAGUGAAAUAUUUGACAAAUCUGAUGUUAAAUUUUUCAUCUCUAGCUUUCAGCACUUGUGGUCCAUUGAGAUAAAUAGUACAGCUCACACUUUUGAUCUAUUCUUUGAAGCUCUCUGGGACCAGCUCUCUGUUAAAGAGGGAGAGGCGCAGGUCAAGGGAUGUUUUGAGAUGCAGACAGUGCUCUCAGACAUGGCCCAGCACAUCCUCAGUGACAAGAGUGUCCUCUCCUUCAGCGUGUUCCAGCUGUGACAACUCUCUCUUCUUUCUCUGUAGUGACAGAAUUUGGGGGUUUGGCUCUGAUCUGUUGAUAAACCAGGAAUUAAUGUGGACUUUCUGCUAAGUGAAACCCACUUUCUUUAUGCUUUUCCUUUUUUAAUUAUUAUUUUUACCCUGUAACAGGGGUAUCUGCAGCCACCAGGCAGAGCCUCCUCCUACUGGAACACACUGCUUUGCAGUAUGGCACUGCACAUUUAACUCCAAGGAAUGUAAUUUGUCCUAAGAACUGCAUCCUACAGAGAAUAAAGCAGAAAACACACUCUGCUGGUAGCUUCUCUCAGAGGAUUACUGUAAAACUAAGCUAAUAACAAUGCAACAUUCCUUCAGAAACUGAAAUCUUGCUCACAUGCUAAGAAGCUGUAAGAGUAACAGCAUCAUCUGGUGGCUUCUGCCACAAAGAAUGGAUUAAUUGAUUUUUUUUUUUGUUCUACUUUCAUUUAAAUUCCUCAUCUCUCAGGUGAGGCCAGGUCCUGAAGGAACGCGUGAGAGGAGAAACAGACGGAAAAUGAUAAAAAUGAGAGAAGGUAAUAAUGAAAUCCUCAGCUAUACUGAAACAUUAAACUGCAUCUGAUAUCUCAGAUCUUUUUAAAAGGAUUUUUUAAAGAACACUGAAAAACACCAUCCUCAUUGAAGUCAAGCUUCAUUUACAGCAAUGCCAGAUGGGUUGGGAUUUUGGAAGCAUACAUUAAGAGCAGGAACAACGCCGCUAAAGGCCUUGAACCUUAGAUAAGGAUUGGUGCAAACCUCCACGAAGUCUUAAAGACAAUUCCUUUUCAUCAUUUCUUUUGUAAGUGCCAAAUCAGACCCUUCCAACUCCUCCUUCACCUUCCUUUUGGAAUUCCUCUUGCUGAUGUUAACCCUCGGAGAGGUGGUGUGUAAAAAUGAGAUGAGCGUGCCUUCGUCUGCAGAAGGCUUUCACUGAGCAGAGGAGUGUUAUGGCUACGAGGGCAAACCAAGCCAAUCCACAAAGCUCCCAGCUGUGGCUGGGACAGCAGCAGAGGCUGAAGCAGCCUGCCUGAGCUAAUAAACCUCCCCAGCCUCAAGGGGCUGGAGCACACCCAGAAAUGCCCAAGGUCAGAAGUUCCCCACGAUCCCGAUGCAGCACCAGGGCCACACCAGCCCAGAGAACCCAAAGACUUCAGGAUUAGCUGUUGCAAAAGCUUAUUAACAAGGCAAUAACAUGAAAAUUAUUCCUUCUGGCUUUAUUGGUGCGCAGUGUCUGUUUUACAUUCAUAUAGUUUCUGUCCUAUCCUUGGCAGUUGUCUUCUUUGUUGU